RNAcentral lists this ribosomal RNA (119 nucleotides) under Pteropus alecto (black flying fox). Lineage: Eukaryota; Metazoa; Chordata; Mammalia; Chiroptera; Pteropodidae. The record is from RNAcentral.
GUCUACAGCCAUGCCACUCUGAACGUGCCCGAUCUUGUCUGAUAUUGGAAGCUAAGCAGGGUCGGGCCUGGUUAGUACUUGGAUGGAAGACCGCCUAGGAAUACCAGGUGCUGCAGGCA